This 231-nucleotide unclassified non-coding RNA is filed under the name plant metagenome. RNAcentral describes it as "partial contains small subunit ribosomal RNA, internal transcribed spacer 1, and 5.8S ribosomal RNA". The stretch from base 1 to 50 matches the Rfam family "Eukaryotic small subunit ribosomal RNA", at positions 1782 to 1831 of the family's 1831-position model. The record is from RNAcentral.
GGAAAAGUCGUAACAAGGUUUCCGUAGGUGAACCUGCGGAAGGAUCAUUCAUAAUAAGUGUUUUAUGGCACUUUUUUAAAUCCAUAUCCACCUUGUGUGCAAUGUCAGGGUUGAUUUUUCUCUCGAGAGGAUCAACCCCAAACAUCAACUAUAUCUCAACUCUUUGUCUGAAAAAUAUUAUGAAUAAAACAAUUCAAAAUACAACUUUCAACAACGGAUCUCUUGGCUCUC